UUACUCUGUUCUUGCAAAGCUUGACAAUUCUCUUUAAUAUUAUCUAAAUGUAAAGCACUUGUGGCCAGGGUUUUGCAAAGUGCAAUACAAAAUAAGUUAUGUCAGAUUGUUUAAAUGUGUAAAUGUAUUAAAUCUUUGGACUGUCAAGCCCAUGAAGCUGAUAGCAUCUGCUACCAGUGUGCAAGAAAAAAUUGACAGAGGUGAAAUCGACAUGAUGGGCUACCUCUUUGAUGUCAUACUUCAAGAGGUAAUCAUCAGGAUCUUGAAAAAGAAUGAGGGCUUCAGCUGCUAUCGGGCAGAAUUUGCCAUGGCCAGCGGAUUUCACCAUUAAAGGCUGAAUAAAUGUGAUAGUCUUGAUUGUAUUUCUUUUGGAUGUUUGAUUAAAGAAAAAUCUAUUGUAACAAGUGGUUUUUGUCUCAUUUUAUUAAGCCUAUUCAAAUUUUGACAUGUCUCAUUGCUGCAUAAUUUCCUGAGGAAUUAUGAUUCUUUGGUGUACAACUACAUCUGAGAUUUAAGUGUCCACAGUUAUGACUCAAUUUUUGAAUGUGGUGAAUCGUCAUCCGCUUUUCGGCGACAUGAAAGCGUAUAUUUAAAUAGCGUUGGUGCAUCUAAUCCAGGAGUGAGAUAUAUACUCGGGAGACUUCGGUAAGAUUAAAAUGAGUUUAAUCAAAAAUAUUCUCAUUAGACAUGAAUAAUUAAAUUGUCAUGAACUGAUUAAUCAUUAGAAGUUAUCAGUUGUAUUCCCUGAGAAACACCAGA
This is a long non-coding RNA of Anguilla anguilla (European eel), 759 nucleotides long. RefSeq lists it as uncharacterized. NCBI's taxonomy places the organism in Eukaryota, Metazoa, Chordata, Actinopteri, Anguilliformes, Anguillidae. The transcript is spliced from 2 exons. The record is from RefSeq and is a predicted model, not a curated record.